RNAcentral lists this ribosomal RNA (253 nucleotides) under uncultured bacterium. RNAcentral describes it as "partial 16S ribosomal RNA". It matches the Rfam family "Bacterial small subunit ribosomal RNA", at positions 524 to 776 of the family's 1533-position model. The record is from RNAcentral.
UACGGAGGGUGCAAGCGUUAUCCGGAUUCACUGGGUUUAAAGGGUGCGUAGGUGGGCAAGUAAGUCAGUGGUGAAAUCUCCGGGCUUAACCCGGAAACUGCCAUUGAUACUAUUUGUCUUGAAUACUGUGGAGGUCAGCGGAAUAUGUCAUGUAGCGGUGAAAUGCUUAGAUAUGACAUAGAACACCAAUUGCGAAGGCAGCUGGCUACACAAAUAUUGACACUGAGGCACGAAAGCGUGGGGAUCAAAUAGG